Molecule: ribosomal RNA, 422 nt
Filed under: uncultured bacterium
Lineage: Bacteria
Description: bacterial SSU rRNA
Rfam family: Bacterial small subunit ribosomal RNA
Source: RNAcentral
UGAGGAAUAUUGGACAAUGGGCGCAAGCCUGGUCCAGCCAUGCCGCGUGCAGGAAGAAGCAUCUAUGGUGUGUAAACUGCUUUUGUACGGGAAGAAACACUCCUACGUGUAGGAGCUUGACGGUACCGUAAGAAUAAGGAUCGGCUAACUCCGUGCCAGCAGCCGCGGUAAUACGGAGGAUCCAAGCGUUAUCCGGAAUCAUUGGGUUUAAAGGGUCCGUAGGCGGUUUAAUAAGUCAGUGGUGGAAGCCCAUCGCUCAACGAUGGAACGGCCAUUGAUACUGCUAGACUUGAAUUACAAGGAAGUAACUAGAAUAUGUAGUGUAGCGGUGAAAUGCUUAGAUAUUACAUGGAAUACCAAUUGCGAAGGCAGGUUACUACUUGUGGAUUGACGCUGAUGGACGAAAGCGUGGGGAGCGAACA